This 63-nucleotide transfer RNA is filed under the name Cochabamba sp. REN-2018. Its description in RNAcentral is "tRNA-Leu". The record is from RNAcentral. Lineage: Eukaryota; Metazoa; Arthropoda; Insecta; Coleoptera; Chrysomelidae.
AUUAUUUUGGCAGAUUAGUGCUAUAGGUUUAGAAUCUAUAUAUGUAAUUUUUUACAAAUAAUA